AACGAACGCUGGCGGCAGGCCUAACACAUGCAAGUCGAACGCCCUAGCAAUAGGGAGUGGCAGACGGGUGAGUAACGCGUGGGAACGUGCCCUUCAGUUCGGGAUAAGCCGAGGAAACUUGGUCUAAUACCGGAUACGUGCGAGAGCAGAAAGAUUUAUCGCUGAAGGAUCGGCCCGCGUCCGAUUAGCUAGUUGGUGAGGUAACGGCUCACCAAGGCGACGAUCGGUAGCUGGUCUGAGAGGAUGAUCAGCCACACUGGGACUGAGACACGGCCCAGACUCCUACGGGAGGCAGCAGUGGGGAAUAUUGGACAAUGGGAGCAAGCCUGAUCCAGCCAUGCCGCGUGAGUGAUGAAGGCCCUAGGGUUGUAAAGCUCUUUCGCCAGGGACGAUAAUGACGGUACCUGGAUAAGAAGCCCCGGCUAACUUCGUGCCAGCCGCCGCAGUAA
This 449-nucleotide ribosomal RNA is filed under the name uncultured bacterium. Its description in RNAcentral is "partial 16S ribosomal RNA". It matches the Rfam family "Bacterial small subunit ribosomal RNA", at positions 29 to 523 of the family's 1533-position model. The record is from RNAcentral.